AUUGAACGCUGGCGGCAUGCUUUACACAUGCAAGUCGAACGGUAACAGGUUAAGCUGACGAGUGGCGAACGGGUGAGUAAUGCAUCGGAACGUGCCCGGUCGUGGGGGAUAACGCAGCGAAAGCUGCGCUAAUACCGCAUACGAUCUGAGGAUGAAAGCGGGGGACCGUAAGGCCUCGCGCGAUCGGAGCGGCCGAUGCCAGAUUAGGUAGUUGGUGGGGUAACAGCUCACCAAGCCAACGAUCUGUAGCUGGUCUGAGAGGACGACUAGCCACACUGGGACUGAGACACGGCCCAGACUCCGACGGGAGGCAGCAGUGGGGAAUUUUGGACAAGGGGCGAAAGCCUGAUCCAGCAAUGCCGCGUGCAGGGAGAAGGCCUUCGGGUUGUAAACUGCUUUUGUACGGAGCGAAAAGGUCUCCUCUAAUACAGGGGGCUCAUGACGGUACCGUAAGAAUAAGCACCGGCUAACUACGUGCCAGCCGCCGCCUAA
RNAcentral lists this ribosomal RNA (492 nucleotides) under uncultured bacterium. Its description in RNAcentral is "partial 16S ribosomal RNA". It matches the Rfam family "Bacterial small subunit ribosomal RNA", at positions 29 to 522 of the family's 1533-position model. The record is from RNAcentral.